AAUAUUGCAGUAAUACACGAAAUCAUUCCAUUGCAAAAAAAAAUAGUAAUACAUAAAAUCAAAACCCCUCCUCCAUACUCUCUCAACUCCUCUUGAAUGACCAUAUCGUAACCUAAAAAGAACUCCAUACACACUAUGAAAAUCACAUUCCCUUACCUCGUGCUUCUUAAUUCCCAAUUACUAGAGGUAUACAACAUUCUAUACCCAAUAACCA
RNAcentral lists this long non-coding RNA (214 nucleotides) under Lathyrus oleraceus (garden pea). RNAcentral describes it as "Pisum sativum (pea) long non-coding RNA (PSAT_LNC018636)". Lineage: Eukaryota; Viridiplantae; Streptophyta; Magnoliopsida; Fabales; Fabaceae. The record is from RNAcentral.